Molecule: ribosomal RNA, 253 nt
Filed under: uncultured bacterium
Lineage: Bacteria
Description: partial 16S ribosomal RNA
Rfam family: Bacterial small subunit ribosomal RNA
Source: RNAcentral
UACGUAGGGGGCAAGCGUUGUCCGGAUUUAUUGGGCGUAAAGAGCGUGUAGGCGGCUAGGUAGGUCCGUUGUGAAAACUCGAGGCUCAACCUCGAGACGCCGAUGGAAACCAUCUAGCUAGAGUCCGGAAGAGGAGAGUGGAAUUCCUGGUGUAGCGGUGAAAUGCGCAGAUAUCGGGAGGAACACCAGUAGCGAAGGCGGCACUCUGGGCCGGUACUGACGCUGAGGAGCGAAAGCGUGGGGAGCGAACAGG